AGAUUGAACGCUGGCGGCAGGCCUAACACAUGCAAGUCGAGCGGCAGCACGGGUACUUGUACCUGGUGGCGAGCGGCGGACGGGUGAGUAAUGCCUAGGAAUCUGCCUGGUAGUGGGGGAUAACGCUCGGAAACGGACGCUAAUACCGCAUACGUCCUACGGGGAGAAAGCAGGGGACCUUCGGGCCUUGCGCUAUCAGAUGAGCCUAGGUCGAUUAGCUAGUUGGUGAGGUAAUGGCUCACCGAAGGCGACGAUCCGUAACUGGUCUGAGAGGAUGAGUCAGUCACACUGGAACUGAGACCACGGUCCAGACUCCGUACGGGAGGCAGCAGGUGGGGAAUAGUUGGACAGUGGGCAAAGCCUGAUCCAGCCAUGCCG
RNAcentral lists this ribosomal RNA (378 nucleotides) under uncultured soil bacterium. Its description in RNAcentral is "bacterial SSU rRNA". It matches the Rfam family "Bacterial small subunit ribosomal RNA", at positions 26 to 399 of the family's 1533-position model. The record is from RNAcentral.